RNAcentral lists this transfer RNA (64 nucleotides) under Macoma balthica. Its description in RNAcentral is "Limecola balthica tRNA-Pro". Lineage: Eukaryota; Metazoa; Mollusca; Bivalvia; Cardiida; Tellinidae. The record is from RNAcentral.
CAGGUGGUAGUUUAAUAGAAUGUUGGUUCUGGGAGCCAAAGGUCUUAAAAGUUAAGUUGCCUGA